GAUGAACGCUAGCUACAGGCUUAACACAUGCAAGUCGAGGGACCGGUGCACGGGUCCGGAACACGUACCCAACCUGCCCUUGACCCGGGGAUAGCCUUUCGAAAGUAAGACAAAUACCCGAAGUAAAGGAUGGGGAUGAGUUCCACUAGGUUGUUGGUGAGGUAACGGCACGACAAGCCUUCGUUGGUUAGGGGUUCGGAGAGGAAGGUACCCCACAUUGGAGCUACGGCACAGUCCAAACUCCUACGGAGGGCAGGAGUAGAGAAUAUUGGUGAAUAGGGGUUAGCCUGGACCAGCCAAGUAGCGUGAAGAGUGAAGGCUUAUGGAUCGUAGACUUCUUUUAUAUAAGAAUAGGUAUUAUCUGAAUAAGGAUCGGCUAACUCCGUGCCAGCAGCCGCGGUAAUUC
RNAcentral lists this ribosomal RNA (406 nucleotides) under uncultured bacterium. RNAcentral's name for it is "partial 16S ribosomal RNA". It matches the Rfam family "Bacterial small subunit ribosomal RNA", at positions 28 to 526 of the family's 1533-position model. The record is from RNAcentral.